UAGCAGCCUACCUGGUGCUUGUACAAUGGU
RNAcentral lists this non-coding RNA (30 nucleotides) under Rattus norvegicus (Norway rat). The record is from RNAcentral. Lineage: Eukaryota; Metazoa; Chordata; Mammalia; Rodentia; Muridae.